AAGACCCCGUAACCCCCUAGAGGUGUCGCAGAGAGCACGUAGGACUCACACAGAGCCUAGCGCGCUAGACACCAUCUGGUAGAUGCAUGUUACCCACAUGCUCAUUGUACAUAACAUCCCAAGUUUACAACCCCCCAUACAUCCCCCUGACCCCCGAAGGUACAAGUGUAAGCAUUACCACCCAGAGAAGACACACCAUCACUACCACCUGACCUCCAAUGGCUGAUCUCAAAAUAAUGUCCCUAAAUGUUAGGGGACUUAAUACUCCAGAGAAACGUACAGUACUAACCCAAGAAAUAGACAGGC
Non-coding RNA from Pelobates cultripes (western spadefoot toad), 306 nucleotides. NCBI's taxonomy places the organism in Eukaryota, Metazoa, Chordata, Amphibia, Anura, Pelobatidae. The record is from the annotation of a GenBank genome assembly.